GACAGAGAGCAUGAGAGGGAGGAGGGUCAGAGGGAGAAGCAGACUCCCUGCUGAGCAGGGAGCCCGAUGCGGGACUCGAUCCCAGGACUCCAGGAUCAUGACCUGAGCCGAAGGCAGUCGCUUAACCAACUGAGCCACCCAGGCGCCCCCAAAUUCAUGUUAUCUCUUACAAAACUUGUCAGCAAGAAGAAUAACCUGGGAUGAUGGUUGACUUUGUAAUAUCUUGUGAGGUUUUUGUGAGUAAUCUAAGCAUCAUCACUGGGAGCAAGUGAGUUAGAUAGCUAUAAGUGGGAAAAGAGUUUUUAGGUGAACUUUUUAACAAUAAUUAUAUUUUAUGGUAUGUGUACUUAAAAAUAAUUUCAAUUCUCUUUGGUAACUUGGAACUUUAAAGUUGUGCUGAGUUAAGUUAAAUGAUGAGAAAUUCAUUGAAUAUCUAGACCAUUUACUGAACAUAAGUUUAUCUAUUUUUGGCUUCUUAUUACAGAGGCACUAAAGAUAUUUGUGUCUGUUAGUAAACAUGUCUUGUGCCACACUGAGAGAUUGUACUAUUUUUUUAAAAGGCAUAUGCUUCUAGAAAUUAUGAAAUGUAUUCAUAAAUUUGCCAAUCUAAAAAAUGUGGGUGUAACAGGCUGUUCACAACUGCUUACUUCUUAGUUUUGCUAGAAAUGAAAGUUUCUAAGGGUUAAGAAUUUUAACAUAUGUAAUUAAAGCUACUAGAGGUAAUAAGGAAAACAACUCUGUACGAAAGGAAUUUUGGAUAAGAAAAUGUAUGAGAUAUGAAGAUGCACUUUUGUUAAAGGAAAAAGAAAGUAAAAUUGUCCUAAAGUAAAACUAGCAUAGAAAGUUGGGGAAAGAAAGAGAAUUUUACUUUGUGUGGUCAAGUUGGCUAAAAUGUAAUGAGUUUAUGAUAAGGAUUAUAAAAUUAAGCUUUAAAAUCGGUAGUGUAUUUAUGUAAAGCUAAAACUUGAUUUUCUUUCAUUUACUAAAAGGACAAACUUUUCAGGGACCAUUAAUCUCCUCCUCCUAAGAGAUAGUUUUUCUUUACCUUUUAAGUAAUCUGCCUAAAAAGCAAAGAUUUUGUGUUUUAUCAGGAUGAUUUCCUAUUCUCCUUACCAUCUGUGGUCUUUGACUGCUUAAGAAAACUGGGUCUUCUCAAUAUUAAGAGCUACAUUUUGCUCACAGCUAUAUAACUUUCUGUAUUUGCCUUUGAAGUCUUUUAUUAUCACUUGGGUAGAACAGAUAAUUAUGUAUUGUUUCAUAAUGGUCUGUGAUGUUUGUGUGGAUAUAUGUUAUUCACAUUGGUGUUCCAGAAAUUUUAUAAAAUUCCUAGAAUUCUGGUAUGUCCCAGUACAAUGCUAUCACUUAUAAUUCUAUUAUUAAUUUGAAAUGUUUUAUGUUAUAGAAAUAAGCAAAUUUCUUUGUCAGUUGUAUUAUAAUGAACUCUCAUCAAAUCUUUAACUGUGGCCAUUUAAAAAUCUUUUGCCAUUUACACUAAUUGUUUUACUGUGAUGUUUUUGCAAAAGUGCUUCCUCUUUAGUGAGACUCAUGGAAAGAACUCUUGAAUGCAGGUAUCUGAUAAUUUUAAGAUCAUACCAUUGAUUUAGCUGCCUAUGUCUUAGAGCAACUUGGUUAAACAUACCUUUGUGUACAAAGAUGAAACAUUUAUCUUUUUCUCCUUACCGGAUCGCUCCAGAAUUCAGAAACUCUCAGUGAGUAUUCUUAUUUUUAUGGCAAUAUAAUUAUUUGCAUAAGUUCAAUAAGAACCUGUUCUCCUUGUAACAUUACAGACACAACUGGAAAUUGAUUAUAUUACCAAGGCUUUGACUAGACUGUCAUAUUUGAGAGAGAUGUACAUGCUUGGAUAUGACCAGACAGCUUUAAGGAACUAAAGUUGACUUUAUGGAGCCAAUAAAGUCCCUUGGAAAAACAGCCUCGUCCCUUGCUUACAGGCUUCCCAGCAGUUUUGCCAGGUGCUUAAGGAAGGUCACUUCAUGGCAAGUGCAGAAACCUCAGGAUAUUUUGGGAUCCUUAAGAAGAGAGGAAUCACCCAAAUCUAUAGGUAUUGCAGGCGAGUCUGGCAAGUCCUUCGUUUGGCUUCCUGGCCUUGAGAGGCUUUUAAAAGUCCCAUUUGAGGUUCCUUAUGAAAAGUUCCAGUGAAGCAGAUUAAGAGUCUAUAUGGUUAAUUGUUACUCUUAUUGGACUUAUGUAAAUAAUCAGGUCAAGUUUAUUGAGACUAGACUAAUUUUGCAAACAAAUAUAUUUUACUGUAAUGAUCUUUGGUAGAAAUGGGGUAAUUUUAGAGAGAAAAAUUAUGUUUCAAUAGGAACUAUUAAUACAACUGGUGGAUAUUAAAUUCCAAUUCUGUUCAUUGACUUCGAGGUUUUGUUAUUUACCUGUAAACUGACCUGGAUCCUGAAUUCUUCCAGUUUCCUCAAAUAUCUGGCCACAGAUCUCCAAACUAACAUUUCCAACUUUCUCCCACCUUUUGACUUGGAAUCGCUAAGAACAAAAUUUUGCCCAAAAAGUCCCGCAAACUGAAUAUGAACGACUUGCUAUAAACUUCAGAGAAAACGCAACAGGUCAUGUUAGACAAUCGUCAUGCCUCUUGAAGAUCAGAAGGAUCACCAGAGACAUUCAAACUGCAAACCCUUCUGGAAGAAGACCUAUCAGAUUGCUACCACCUGCCCUCACUAUCUGAAGAUGCUUCUAGCCUGACAUCUAGAAAUGUUCUUGACUGGCUGCCUCCUGGGCUCAGAAACUGAUUUAUAAUUUGUUCCAAUCAUUAACCUUUGUUUUUCUUUGUUUCCAUAGAAAUGCCAUAUUAAACACCUGAUUUCUCCUAACUUUGGGAGCUCACCUUUAGGACGCUCCUGGAAUGAGACACAGCUGUUUACCUGAACUGACCUGUUCCCAGGACUGAGUGACUGGUUCAGUGAGAUAGGGAGUAAUCUAUCAACUCAGCUUCUGGACUGUGAAAAUUCUUCAAAGUUUCAAAGGGUCUCUUCCAUACCAGACUUUAAAUCAAAGCAACAUGUUGUUCAAGUUUUCUGGAAGAUACUGCUCUACAAAUGUUAUCUGGGCUCGCUCUCUGCCCCAAGUUGAUGGAUUAUCAUUCCGCAACAAUUCCCCUCUCACUGUGGACACAAUGUACCCAUUGAUGUUGGGUGCAACCAGCACAGUGGAAUUUAGGAGCCAUGGCUGCUAACACUCGGAGAGUCGAGUUGAACUCCCAGCCCAGUCUUACCUCCAGUCCCUAAAAGGGGGAGGAUCAUUUCCGAGCUCCAGGUCCACAUGCCUGAAUU
Mirounga angustirostris (Northern elephant seal) is the source of this 3302-nucleotide long non-coding RNA. RefSeq lists it as uncharacterized. The record is from RefSeq and is a predicted model, not a curated record. NCBI's taxonomy places the organism in Eukaryota, Metazoa, Chordata, Mammalia, Carnivora, Phocidae. The transcript has 3 exons.